This 1788-nucleotide ribosomal RNA is filed under the name Triticum aestivum (bread wheat). RNAcentral's name for it is "partial small subunit ribosomal RNA". The record is from RNAcentral. Lineage: Eukaryota; Viridiplantae; Streptophyta; Magnoliopsida; Poales; Poaceae.
AUGGAUACGCUGUUUAGGUUGGUUAGCCUCCAAGCCUCCGAGCAGCAGCAGCAGCAGCAGCAAUCGGCGUCGUACAACUCCAGGAGCACCACCUCCAGCGGCUCCAGGUCGUCUUCCCACCAGACCAACGCCUCCUACAACUACUACCACCACAGCUCCAGCAGCGGCGGCGGCGGCGGCGGCGGGCAGUACUACUACAGCCAGCAGCAGCAGCCGCAGCAGUCCUACUACCUGGAGCCGUACCAAGAAGAAUGCGGUGGCAACGCCCACCAGCACCACCUCUACAUGGAUGAAGACUUCUCUUCCUCGUCCUCGUCGAGGCAGCACUUCCACUCGCAUGGCGGGGCGGCCCAUCCGCCCACGUCGUCCGCCACGCCCACUGCGCCCACGCCCCCGCUCUCCACCUCGUCCACGGCUGGCGGGGCGGGCCACGCGCUCUUCGAGGCGGCCGACCUGUCCUUCCCGCCGGACCUCAACCUCGACUUCUCGUCCCCGGCGUCGUCGUCCGGCGCCGGGGGCACAGCGUCAUCGGCCGCGGUGGGGGGAGGUGGCGGCGGGAGGUGGGCCAGCCAGCUGCUCAUGGAGUGCGCGCGCGCGGUUGCGACGCGCGAGAGCCAGCGCGUGCAGCAGCUGAUGUGGAUGCUCAACGAGCUGGCGUCCCCGUACGGGGACGUGGAGCAGAAGCUUGCGUCCUACUUCCUGCAGGGUCUCUUCGCGCGGCUCACGGCGUCCGGCCCCAGGACGCUGCGCACGCUCGCGGCGGCGACCGACCGGAACACGUCCUUCGACUCCACGCGCCGCACCGCGCUGCGCUUCCAGGAGCUCAGCCCCUGGUCGUCGUUCGGGCACGUGGCCGCCAACGGCGCCAUACUGGAAUCUUUCUUGGAGGCCGCGGCCGCGUCGUCGGAGCCGCAGAGGUUUCACAUCCUCGACCUGAGCAACACCUUCUGCACGCAGUGGCCGACGCUGCUCGAGGCCCUGGCCACCCGGUCCCCCGACGACACGCCGCACCUGUCCAUCACCACCGUCGUGUCGGCCGCGCCGUCGGCUCCGACGUCCGCCGUGCAGCGCGUGAUGCGGGAGAUCGGGCAGCGCAUGGAGAAGUUCGCGCGGCUGAUGGGCGUGCCCUUCCGCUUCCGCGCCGUGCACCACUCCGGGGACCUUGCGGAGCUCGACCUCGACUCGCUCGACCUGCGUGGGGGCGGCGCCACGACCGGCAUCGCCGUCAACUGCAUGAACUCGCUGCGCGGCGUGGUGCCGGGCGGUGCCCGCCGGCGCGGCGCUUUCGCCGCGUCCCUCCGCCGCCUCGAACCUCGGGUCGUCACCGUGGUCGAGGAGGAGGCAGACCUGGUGGCGACCGACCCCGACGCGUCCGACGAAGGCGGCGACACGGAGGCGGCAUUCUUGAAGGUGUUCGGCGAGGGCUUGCGGUUCUUCUCGGCUUACAUGGACUCGCUAGAGGAGAGCUUCCCCAAGACCAGCAACGAGAGGCUGGCAUUGGAGAGGGGAGCAGGGCGUGCCAUUGUUGACCUGGUCUCGUGCCCAGCGUCGGAGUCCAUGGAGCGGCGGGAGACGGCGGCGGCAUGGGCACGGCGGUUGCGGUCGGCCGGGUUCUCACCGGUGCCAUUCAGCGAGGACGUAGCCGACGACGUGCGGUCACUUCUGCGCCGGUAUCGGGAGGGCUGGUCGAUGCGGGAGGCCGGCACGGAUGACUCGGCGGCCGGAGCCGGCGUGUUCCUGGCGUGGAAGGAGCAGCCUCUGGUGUGGGCAAGCGCGUGGAGGCCAUGA